RNAcentral lists this long non-coding RNA (3533 nucleotides) under Homo sapiens (human). RNAcentral's name for it is "HSALNT0232506". The record is from RNAcentral. Lineage: Eukaryota; Metazoa; Chordata; Mammalia; Primates; Hominidae.
GCCUGUGGAGUCCUGGUUCGGCUCUUUCUGGCUUCUUUUCGUUUCCUAAUCUUAAAAAAAUCUGUAAAAGACACUUAGUUUUCUCCAGUUAAUACUGGAAAAAAGACCACACUGAUAGACAUGGUUAAAUUCCCUCAUUUCUUUAGGGAUGAACUAAAUGGCUAGUAUCCUCAUUUUAAAAAGUAUCUUGAGGGCCACGUGUGGUGGUUCAUGCCUAAUAGCACAGCACUUUGGGAGGUAGAAAUGGGAGGAUCACUUGAGCCCAAGAGUUCCAGGUUACAGUGAUCUGUGAUCUCCUCACUGCACUCUAGUCUGGGCAAUAAAGUGAGCGAGUGAGACCUUGUCUCAACAAACAAACAAACAAACAACAAGCAAACAAAACCACAAUGAGAUCAUGUCUCCAUGAAAAAAAAAAGAAGAAAGAAAAAGUGUCUUGACCUUGGUGGAGCUUAUGUUGAGAAACAAAAUUCAUUUUUAAAAAUUUUUAUAUUUUAAUUCAAUUUCCAUGAACUUUUGGAGGUCCCCUUAUAUUUUUUCUUUCUGUUUUUUGUUUUGUUUUGUUUUUUGGACAGUCUCAUUCUGUUGCUGAGGCUGGAGUGCAGUGGCAAGAUCUCAGCUCAAUGCAACCUCUGCCUCCUGUGUUCAAGUGAUUCUCAUGCCUCAGCCUCCCAAGUAGUUGAGAUUACAGGUGUGCAUCACCAGAGCUGGCUAAAUUUUUUUUUUUUUGGUAAUUUUAGUAGAGGCAGGGUUUCAUCAUGUUGCCCAGGCUGGUCUUGAACUCCUGGGCUCAAAUGAUCUACCUGCCUUAGCCUCCCAAAGUGCUGGGAUUACAGACGUGAGCCACUGUGUCCAGCCUCUUAUUUCUUUUCUUAAUUUUUAAUUUAGAGAUGGGGUCUCAAUAUGUUGCCCUGGCUGGUCUUGAACUGUUGGGUUUAAAGGAUCCUUCAGCCUCCCAAAGUGCUGGGAUUAUAGGUCUGAAUCACCCUGCCUGACCCCCUCGUAAUUUUUAUAGCCUGAACUGGAAACCAAAUGGCCAUCAACAGGUGAAGGGAUAAAGAAACUUCCAUCCAUACAAUGGAAUACUACUCAGCAAGAAAAAGGAACGAACCAUUGAUAAACAAAGCAAUGUGGAUGCAUUCUGCAGACAGCAUGCUGAGGGAAGGAAGCCAGACUCAAAAGGUACAUACUCCAUGAUUUCAUUUUUAUGAAAUUCUAGAACAAGCAAAAGUAAGCUACAGUAACAGAAAUCAGAUCGGUGGUUGCCUGCGGUGGGGGCAGGAGAAAGCUUCCUGGAGUGCUAAGAAGUGUUCUUUAUUUUGAUUGGGGUGGUGGUUACACAGGGACCUACAUUUGUCAAAACACAUCAAACUAUAUACUUACAAUGGGUGCAUUUUAUUUCAUGUAAUUUAUAUCUCAAUUUGCAAAAAGGGUACCGAGAAAAAGCAAAAUAUGGCACUGAACUAGAGAAGCUGAAAGAGGAGAAGUGGGUGGGUGCCUGUAUAUAAGUUAACUGCACACUCAUGAUGUCACCAUCCAUCCUGCCAGCAGACUGUGAUCUCCUGAGGGGGACUGUCAUAGCCCAGCCCCAGCCCAGAGCCUGUCACAUAGGAUGACAUCAGGAAAUGUCUGCUAUGGAAUGAAGGCAGGGUGGCUCUAUUUCCUCUACAUGCCUCCGAGGACAACACCCAUCCUCCAAAAGAAGUGAAUUCAGAGCAAAUGCAAGGCCCAGCAUGGAAAGACUCACCACAGCAAGUAAGUAGUGGAGAUUCAUGGAUCGCCGACUUCUCACAGCAAAGACCACGGCUCCCACAAGGAACGCACAAGCAAUCAGGUCGUUGAAGAGGUCCUGAAGGUGGAGAGGUUAGUCAGCCUCAGCCAAAGCCAGGGUCCCCAUCAACAAACACUGCACCCUGGCUAGCUUCCUCCAAAGGAAUGAUUUGCAAAUUUCCACCUGAUUUUAAAAUGUAUGCAUAAAGAUAAACACACACCGGGCUAGGUGGACAUAUCUGUGGCCCUCCAGCUGGGCUUUUUAAAUUGAAACCUAAAAAGUCCAGGAUGCUAAAAUGCCCUCGUGCUGAAGCCUGUGAAGUCACCAGCCCCCUCUUCUACCAUCUCUCUGUGAAAUCACACAUUUGGUUUCUGCCUAUGUCUCCUCCCACUAAUACUCAUUUAUUAUUUUUAUUUUCUACUUUUUGAGACAGGGUCUUACUCCGAUUAUGCAGGCUGGAGUGCAGUGGCACAAUUUCUGCUCACUGCAGCCUCGACCUCCUCAGGCUCAGGUGAUUCUCCCACCUCUGCCUCCUGAGCAGCUGCGACUACAGGUGUGUGCCACCAAGCCUGCCUAAUUUUUUUUUUGUGUGUAUUUUUAGUAGAGACGGGGUUUCACCAUGUUAUCCAGGCUGGUCUCGAACUCCUGGACUCAAGCGAUCUGCCUUCCUCGGCCUCCCAAAGUGCUACGAUUACAGGUGUGGGCCACAGCGCCCAGCCAAUACACAUUUAAAUAAAUACACAACUAUAAAACGUCAUGAUGUCCCUCUUAAGGACCCCACCACCGCCUUUCAGCUCCCAGGACCAGCUCCCCUCUCUGGAGUCUGGGUGGGCUGCACUGGCUCUGAUGGACUCUAGCAUCUCACUGGGAGCCUGGCAGCUUCUUCUGCAACCCCCUGCCCUCGGCCUGACUUCCUAGACCCCUUCCCCUCUUUGCAAGGCAGCACCACCUCUUCCUUCCUCAACCCUCCUGCCCAUCCCCUGUGACUUCAGUCUCGCCCUCCCCAUACCAUAUACGCAUUUCCCUCCUGCUAGUGACAAGGCAUUGCCAAACUUCUCAGAGCUGGCCAAACCAUGGCCAUAGCAGGCUGGCUUCCUCCCGCAUUUCUCCUGGGCCUAGAGGAUGGGGUGAGAAGCAGCUGAUCCUGCAGCGCUGGAAGACACCUGCCAUCCCCCUUGGUUUCUAUAGUGCCAUUUCCUGCUGUUGUCCUUUCCUGGCCACUUUGUUUCAGGCCUUUUCCUUUUUAAUGUUUUGAAUUUUGAUACAUUUCAAAUGCCCAGAAAAUAAUAGAACAUCCUAUCCCCGACUCCCACCUCCACCAGGCCAGGAGCCACUGACAUUUAACAGAUGUUAACGUCUUGCCAACGUCCCCUUUAGGCCUCUUUGAAAACAAGAAGUCCAACUUCACGGAUGGAGCUGCAGCCCCCUCGCUUCCUUCCCUUUUCCUGUCCCUCAUGCCUCCCUCCUCCAACUUUUGGAAGCUGAUGUGCAGUUUUCCUGUCUGAAUUUGUGCUUUUCUACAUAUUAUAUAUUUAUAAACAAUGUAUACUAUUUUGUGUAUUUCAAAAUACACUUUUUAUAUUUAAAUAAAAAGUAUCCUACCUUUCAAUGCUUGCUUUUUGACUUUUGAGAUUUAUCCACAUUGAGAAAUAUAGAUUUAUUAAUUUUAACUGAUGUAGCCUACUAUAUGAAUGAACGAAAUGAGACACAGGGUGUUUCUACCACUCACUGCAGUCUUGAACUCCUGGGCUCAAGUGAUCCUCCC